RNAcentral lists this unclassified non-coding RNA (218 nucleotides) under Glomeromycetes sp. RNAcentral describes it as "partial internal transcribed spacer 2". The stretch from base 1 to 71 matches the Rfam family "5.8S ribosomal RNA", at positions 84 to 154 of the family's 154-position model. Lineage: Eukaryota; Fungi; Glomeromycota; Glomeromycetes. The record is from RNAcentral.
GUGAAUCAUCGAAUUUUUGAACGCAAAUUGCACUCCCUGGCAUGCCUGGAAGUAUGCCCGGUUGAGGGUAAGUAUUAACAAAAAAUCGGUUUGGUUGCAAGUUGUGACGUUUCGGGAGUUUGGGCUAUCUUAACUUUUUUGGUUAAGGGGCUUAAAAUUUACUUUAUUUGUGCAUUUUUAGACGUACAUAUAUCUUUUUUUUCUUUGAAUGUUCCUAA